This is a long non-coding RNA of Ostrea edulis (European flat oyster), 1907 nucleotides long. RefSeq lists it as uncharacterized. The record is from RefSeq and is a predicted model, not a curated record. NCBI's taxonomy places the organism in Eukaryota, Metazoa, Mollusca, Bivalvia, Ostreida, Ostreidae. The transcript is spliced from 2 exons.
UCUACGUACGACUUAAUAAGUACUUGUCUUACCAAAAUGGCAGAACACGAGGUGGAAAGUGAAUCUAAUGUUCAAAUUGUGAAUCCUCCUGCAGUUUUCAAAUCUGCUGUGUGGAAAACCUUUGGAUUUUUAAAAGGUGACAAUAAAAAGUCAUUUGGACUGUUUUGCAUAAUUUUUUCUAGUCAUGAGUCAAUUUCAUUUCAUAUUUCUACAAUUGGUGUUAAUAAACCUUUGUAAAGAGUUAAUGAGAACUUCUAUGUUUUUUAUUAGGGUAAGCAACUAAGCAUCACAAUAUUUGACAAUAAAAAAUGAAGAUAUCAGUUUAUCUAAUAUUUUUUGGCAACCAUAUCGUGAUACGUGUUGUAUCGCACUAUUGUAUCGUGAUACGUAUCGUAUCGUGAGCUAGCUGGCGAUACACAGGCCUACAUAGGAAGUUCCUCUGCAAACCACUGCGAAUUAUGCCUAGCGCUCGCAUUUCUUUCUUGCAAUGGUGCAUGCAUGGUCAUUUAUCACAUCACGGAUACCCUCAUUGUAAAGGCCAACCAUGUCUUCGAUUGGAAUAUCGCUCUUUAUUUUUGAUAACUAGGACUUUAUGUCCAGGCAAAAAAACUUGUGUUCAAUUUUGCGAAAGGAAAAAGACUUCUGUCAGUUUUGAGGAUUUUAUACUUUGAGGAUGGAAUGAAUGCCUUUAUGAUCACAAAAUGAAACACCUUUUGAGUCACAUAUGAGUUGAUUAUCAGUGGUUGGAGUGGAAUUCAGGAUUGUGCUGUCAUCUCUGGUAAUAAAUACGUCCAGUAUAUGUCCACACACAUGAGUAGGAUCAGUUAAUAUGCUGUGUUAGCCCAUGCUCUUGGAGAGAGUUCAUGAACGUUUGGGAAUUUCGGCCCUUAACCAUGUUAAAAUGGAAAUUCAUGUCUUUUUGGGGUACCUUCGUUGUGCAAUUUUAUGUUAACUAAGUUCUCAUUUUUGGGGUACCUUUCGGGUAUUUCUUGGAUAGAUUUUGGGUAUAUUUUUCUUACCAUUUUUAGAUGCCCAUCUUUAGACGGGACGUAUUAUGGUACAGCGAUGUCUGUACGUCCGUCCGUCCGUCUGUCUGUCUUACCGUCCAUCCGUUCGGGGUUUUCUCUUUAUAAUUUCAUUUCCCCUUCACAUAUCAUGCUGAAACUUGCUGUGUAGCUUCUUUGUGGGUCACUCUAGAUCAUAAUGCAAUUUUUAUCCAUUUCGACCUUUUUUCCAGGAGUUUUGCCCCUUUAUUUGGAAAUUGAUAUUCUAUGGAGGGUACAUAAUUUGUCCGCCCUACUCCUCCCACAGUUUUCAAGUGAGGACCUUCUUAUUUUGUGGAGUGUUUGUAUGGGUAUUGAAGAUGUGCAUGUGGGAUGGAUUUUGAUUUUCUACAAUUUUUGAGAAAAUUACAGGUUGUUGAACUUAGUCUAUUUGGAAAUUAAUAUUCUAUGGAGGGUACAUAAUUUGUCUACCCAACUCCUCCCACAGUUUUCAAGUGAGGACCAUCUUAUUUUGUGGAGUGUUUGUAUGGGUAUUGAAGAUGUACAUCUGCGUAUGGGGAAGGGUUUUGAUUUUCUUCCAUUUUUGAAAAAAUUACAGGUUGUUGAACUUGGUCCAUUUUGAGUAAAUCUCGAUUUUUAAGCUAAGACCCUUUGUUCAUAUGAAAGUUUGUCACAGCCUCAUGAUAAUAAUAAUAAUAAUAAUAAUAGCAUUUAUUUAUCCAGGAUAACACAAAUUAGCAUAUAGCUAGUUUCCAUUGUGGUCCUGCAUUAAAACAUAUACACAAACAAAAAUUAACAUCUAAAAUUAGUAUCUAAACAUGAAUACGAUAUAAAAGAAAAAGGGGGAAAAAAUAUAGCAUAAGACACACCUAAUUAGUGAUAAAAUUAUUACCUAAAUAUGAA